Molecule: ribosomal RNA, 497 nt
Filed under: uncultured bacterium
Lineage: Bacteria
Description: partial 16S ribosomal RNA
Rfam family: Bacterial small subunit ribosomal RNA
Source: RNAcentral
GAUGAACGCUGGCGGCGUGCCUAAUACAUGCAAGUCGAGCGAACAGACGAGGAGCUUGCUCCUCUGACGUUAGCGGCGGACGGGUGAGUAACACGUGGAUAACCUACCUAUAAGACUGGGAUAACUUCGGGAAACCGGAGCUAAUACCGGAUAAUAUAUUGAACCGCAUGGUUCAAUAGUGAAAGACGGUUUUGCUGUCACUUAUAGAUGGAUCCGCGCCGCAUUAGCUAGUUGGUAAGGUAACGGCUUACCAAGGCAACGAUGCGUAGCCGACCUGAGAGGGUGAUCGGCCACACUGGAACUGAGACACGGUCCAGACUCCUACGGGAGGCAGCAGUAGGGAAUCUUCCGCAAUGGGCGAAAGCCUGACGGAGCAAAGCCGCGUGAGUGAUGAAGGUCUUCGGAUCGUAAAACUCUGUUAUUAGGGAAGAACAAAUGUGUAAGUAACUAUGAACGUCUUGACGGUACCUAAUCAGAAAGCCACGGCUAACUACGUG